AGGGCGGGGCGGGGUCUCGGCGGCGCCCUGGAGACCCGAAACCGGGGUGGGGGCGGGGAGGAGGAGGGGCCCGGCCCGCCUAGUCCCGCUUCCAGACGAGAGGGUCCGGAGCGCCCCGCCUUCCGGGCCCGGGGUCCUGAACCGCGGACAGGCUGCGUGGGGCCGGGGCUCUGAGACGCGACUCGACGCGCCUCCCUCUCCCCGGUCGAGGCCUUGGGUGCCCGCCGACCGUGGGCUGCUUCUUCCAUCCCGGGACCCACGCCAGUUCCCUGGACUCUGCCGGCCCCACCUUCUGUCUGUAAGAACGGGGAGUGGUCUGGACCACGUCGCUGCCCCCUCCCCCAGGCUGGGCUGUCAUCACCGUUGGCGACCCGCCUUCGGGGCCUUUAUAGCCGGAGGCCUUAGCCCUGCAAGGUCCUCCGCCACAGAGCGCAUUGAGUGUCAGGGCUUGGGGGCGGAACCCACCAGGGCAUCUACCAUUUUGCUUGUGAAGUUACCUGGGUAUGCGUAGCUCUUUGCUUGGCAAUGUGAGUGUUUAGUUUUUUAAUUCAUUGCUACGCUCAGGAAUUCUUACAAAGUGUGGGGGGUAUUUUCCUAGUGUGAUGAAAUGACUUUGGAAGUUACACUUAACAGCGGAUGGAGCACAGCGGAUGGAGCUGACAUCGUGCGGUGCUACAUGCACGUUUAACGAAGCCUUUGGAUUUUCCUGUUUACUUCUUUUGGAGCCACUAACAUGUUUUGUUUUGUUUUGUUUUGUUGCCUGAAGAGCCUGCAGCCUGGUGCCUGUGGGGCUGGAGGGCAGCUGGGCCCCUGUAAGGCCCGCGGUGGAGGUGGGUUAGGACGCGGCCCCAAACGGGUAUAUCCACUCUGUGCCCGGCCGUGCAGUUUUCUCUCCCAAGGACGCAAGGCGCAGAAGCCGCUGGGGAAGACAGUCCAGAGUCUGCUGGGUUGACACGGGGUGAAAACGUAAUUGAAAAUCUUGAGCAAAAGUGGGAUUGUUUUUGCUUUGAGGGAAGCAGCGUCGGACGCUGUGGGAAGCCUGGCGCCCCAGGCCCACCUCGAGUAUGGGGGAGAGAGAGGUCUUUGUGGUCUCGUGGUAUGCUUUUCAUUAAAAUGGCAAGAUCCGUACUGUCAGAUUAGGAACGACUGUCUGCUAGUCUUUCAGAAGUUGCUGGAAGUUACGCUCUCUGUGUGUUAAACGUUAUGUCUAGACUCGCAGCUCGUUCGCUUGAUGUUCGCUCAGCUCUGCCCACGCUGGCUGUCCAUCUCCCGGAACUGCAUUUCCAGGUUACACACAAAAUGCAGCCUGAACUCCUGGAGGCCUUAAAGACUGGGUGUGUAGGAGCCAGGUUCCUGCUAAAAGUCAGCCAACGAAAGCCACCCCCCAUAAAUGCCUGACCGCAGCCUCUGAAGGGAGCCGAGGGAUCUCCCCCAUCCUGGCUCUCCCCCGAAGCUGUAGCCUGGCUUUGCUCCAUUGUCCAUCCAAGGGCAGGAACGGAUGGACAGCCUGUGAAAAGGUAAAAUGAGUAAAUAUCUCAGGACUUUCUGCUUCCAGAAACGAAUUUGAUCUCUGUAAACACGGUUCCUGUCGCAGGGCAGUUAAACCAGGCCUCCUGCUGUCUACAGGCCAGAGGGGGUCCUGCCCGCCCCCCCUCCUCUUGCAGGUGUGGGCCUUGCAGAGAGGCUGUCCUUGCUGGCCGUGACCCCCGUCCAGAGGAGAUGAGAAGUUGAUCACAGCACGGCCUCGGGAGAGCCAGGAGUCCUGCCGUCAUCCAGGCUGAGGUUCUGGGGGACCUUGAGAGGGUUUUAUAGGCUGGUCAUCACAGCACGGCCUCGGGAGAGCCAGGAGUCCUGCCGUCAUCCAGGCUGAAGCGCUGGGUGGUCAUCUGCUCCCUGGCUUUGGCACCCCAAUCUGUGUUUCGUGUGUCUUUUGGCUUUUCAAGUGCACGGUGGCACGUAACACACGUUCAUUUGAAUCCUUGGGUUACGAGAGAAGCAGAAUAGAAGUUAAGUCUUCUGGUCACCGAUGCCCCCGGCCCGCUGAGCGUGCAGCCGUGCUCAGAGUUUUUUGUUCUGAAGCUGGUCUCUGACAAGGGCCAGUGUCUCCAGCCCAGGUGGGGAGCAGGUCCUGCCGGCAGCCAAGGCCACAGGCUUUGAAACGGUUGAUGUGGAAGACCUUUCCCAGAGCCCUGGCCUGUCCGCAAGGGCCACCGUCCCUCGGUGGCACAGCCUGGGCCGUGGCCGUGGCGACCCCCCCACCCCUCGAAACCCUCACCUCUUCCUCUGUAACCCAGGAGCUGGGCUCCAGCGGGGUCCGCGUGUGUUUCUGGCCAAGAGCGUCUGACGGUUUCGUCAUAAUGUCCAAGACCCACGUGGAAGGGGACCAGGGGGUGAUGGGCUGGGAAGGGGAGAGACGUGGGCCAGGGAAAGGACGCCCUUCCUCCCAGGUGCUGUGUGGUGGUAGAGCCCAGGGCUGCAGGCGGGGCGGCGCUGGGCAGGAUUCUUGGGGGCUCCAUCUCACUGGUUCUGGGACCCACUGGGGUUGAGCGUUUCCUUGUGCUGUGCGUGUUGACAGCAGACCACGGUGGCCCUGGCGGGCGGGGGCGGGGCCAGGCUCUCAUGUACUGUACGGGGACCUCUCACAGCGUCACCUCACGUGGAUCUACCCUGGGGGCGGUAAUGAAGCGCGGAGGCUGUAUUUUGUGAUCUGGUAUCUGUUUCAGCGUGGGCCCCUGUGCUUGUGUAUCCUGGUUCAGGCAUUUGGAAACGUCUGGUGUCUGCAGCAUCUGGAUGGAGGAGCUGUGCCCUGCUCUGAACGGCCGCUCAGCCCGGGGCAGCCGCUGUCCCUGUCCUCCAGGAGCUCACUUACCUCCGGCCGUGCGCUCCUUGAGGCCAGAGCCCGUGUCUGCCUCAGCACCGGCACUGGCAGCAGCAGCGGCAGCUCUGCAGGGCACCGGGCCCGUCACCCACGGCCCACAGCGCUCGCAGCGUCCCUGCUUGCCCGGCCCAGCCGCUCGCUGGGUUGAUCAGAGCAGCGUCCUGCGUUGUGUGCAUGCUUUCUGAAGUUGUUUGGAAUUGGGUUGGUUUUUUUUGGCGGAGCUGCGAGGCUUGUGGGAUCUCAGUCCCCUGACCGGGGAUUGAACCCGGGCCGCAGCAAUGAAAGCCCGGAAUCCUAACCGCUAGGCCACCAGGGAACUCCCUGGAAUUGGUCUAGUUUUAAUCAGAGUACUGCAAAUAAAAUGAGGAGGAUA
This is an RNA transcript of Orcinus orca (killer whale), 3251 nucleotides long. RefSeq lists it as uncharacterized. Lineage: Eukaryota; Metazoa; Chordata; Mammalia; Artiodactyla; Delphinidae. The transcript has 3 exons. The record is from RefSeq and is a predicted model, not a curated record.